GAUGAAGUACGCAGCGAAAUGCGAUAAGUAAUGUGAAUUGCAGAAUUCAGUGAAUCAUCGAAUCUUUGAACGCACAUUGCGCCCGCCAGUAUUCUGGCGGGCAUGCCUGUCUGAGCGUCAUUUCAACCCUCAUGCCCCUAGGGCGUGGUGUUGGGGAUCGGCCAAAGCCCGCGAGGGACGGCCGGCCCCUAAAUCUAGUGGCGGACCCGUCGUGGCCUCCUCUGCGAAGUAGUGAUAUUCCGCAUCGGAGAGCGAUGAGCCCCUGCCGUUAAACCCCCAACUUUCCAAGGUUGACCUCAGAUCAGGUAGGAAUACCCGCUGAACUUAAGCAUAUCAAUAAGCGGAGGA
This 348-nucleotide unclassified non-coding RNA is filed under the name soil metagenome. RNAcentral describes it as "partial contains 5.8S ribosomal RNA, internal transcribed spacer 2, and large subunit ribosomal RNA". The stretch from base 1 to 120 matches the Rfam family "5.8S ribosomal RNA", at positions 35 to 154 of the family's 154-position model. The record is from RNAcentral.